This 460-nucleotide ribosomal RNA is filed under the name Laternula gracilis. RNAcentral describes it as "partial 16S ribosomal RNA". It matches the Rfam family "Bacterial large subunit ribosomal RNA", at positions 1832 to 2597 of the family's 2925-position model. Lineage: Eukaryota; Metazoa; Mollusca; Bivalvia; Laternulidae. The record is from RNAcentral.
GGCCACACGGAAAUUAUGUGGGGUCGAACCUGCCCAGUGACCAACAUGAAAAUGUAGUUAAACGGCCGCUGUAAUGGGUGCGAAGGUAGCAAAAUCUAUUGCCCUUUAAUUGGGGGCGUGUGAAGGGUUUGACGUAGGUUAUUCUGUCUCGUUGGAGAAUAGUGAAAUUUACUUUCGGGUGCAAAGGCUCGAAUAAAGGGGCUGGACGAGAAGACCCUGUAGAGCUUUACCUUUUAAGGUUUGAUUGGGGCAAUCAAAAAGGAUAAAAAACCUUUUAAUCUACAGAGAGUGAUGGUGAGCCGCACAGAGCGAUUAGUAGAAAAAGUUACCGCAGGGAUAACAGCGUAAUCUUUCUUGAGAGUCCAUAUUGACAGAAGGGUUUGCGACCUCGAUGUUGAAUUAAGGCGUUCGUGGGGCGCAGUAGUUCCAAGGGAUGGGUCUGUUCGACCUUUAAAGCCUU